This is an RNA transcript of Setaria italica (foxtail millet), 2110 nucleotides long. RefSeq lists it as uncharacterized. The record is from RefSeq and is a predicted model, not a curated record. Lineage: Eukaryota; Viridiplantae; Streptophyta; Magnoliopsida; Poales; Poaceae. The transcript has 5 exons.
UGCUGCAGGCACAAGAAAAAGCACUGUUUUCUUACUGAUGAAAGCCACUACACCCAGCACACAAACACAUCAAAGAAUCUAGUCGUCGGACAAACUCACCCUGAGAUCCUACUGACCCAAUCCAAGAAGCCCACUGCAGCCACAAGGAAGAGCAUCAGAUGCAGUCAAUCAACAUCCACGGCACCAGAUCAAGGUGAGCAAGGCGUCCGAACGAAGACAAGGCAACAAACCUUCCUGUAACGACGGACCUUCCCAGGCCUAGGUCACCGACGCCAUGGCCGCCUCUGCACCUGCACAAGGACAUCCAGAACACGCACAUCAUCUAAAGGCAAGACAAAUCCAAAGCAGAAGAAGAAGAGGAAGAUGCGAUCAACGGCCGGAGCUCAGAGAUAUGCUCGAUGCGGUUUGGGCGGGGAAACAGGUGGAGGCACGAGCCGGGGAAUCGAAAGCUAGGUUUGCAGCCGGGGCGAGAGGAACAAGAAAGUGGGGGCAAGGAUAAGGGAGGAGCGGCGAGAACAUAUCUUGACGCCGACCGGAGCGCGCAUCGAGACCCACGCUCCGAUGGGACGGCCUCGGCAUCGGCAGAGAGGAGUGGGGCGCACCAAAUCAGGGUUUCUUCCAAUGCCACCAAAUCAGGGUGGUGGAUUUGGCAGAGUCUACAAAGGGUAUAUCACCAAAGAUCUCCGCGAAGGGUUAGAGAUAGAAGAACCGCUGAGAGUUGCCGUUAAAGUCCAUGAUGGUGACAAUAGCUUGCAGGGCCAUAGGGAGUGGCUGUCUGAGGUUAUAUUUCCAGGGCAGCUCUCUCACCCAAAUUUAGUGAAGUUGAUUGGGUAUUGUUGUGAAGACGACCACAGGGUUCUUGUUUACGAGUUCAUGCCCCUGGGAAGUGUGGAGUCCCAUCUGUUUUCAAAGUGGAAUGCUGAUUAGUGGUAAAAUGGCCCAAAUGAGUCAUUGGAGAAUAAGAAUAUGAAGUACCAUCCAUUACUAUUGCAGGUAUCUUACCAUCCAUUAUUUGGAGUCUUGUCUAUCCACUGUCUGUUAUUUAAUUAUUUUGUAGAUCUCCUAUUGAUCGUAUUCAGCUCUGACUUCUAGAAUUAUUUUUGUUUGCUUAAUUGCAAUGUCUCAUAAACCUGUCUAACCAUUUGUUAUGUUUUAUUAGCCAAUAUAAUUUUUUGGCUCUUUGUCAGGUCAUUAUAAAAGCCUCUUUGUCAGGUCAUUCUUCACAUGUUGGAAUCACUUCUUUUUGUUUCCUCUCAGCAUAUGGUUUUGUGAAAGUUGAAUCUCCCUGUUUGAUAGAGUGCGGUAGAGAACCUUGCUGGCUUGCUGCCUCUUUAGCUUGCCCUCCCGCUCCUGCUCUUCAGAUGUGUAUGUAAACUGCUCCGAAGUUCAUUGGAGAAAAGGCUCCAUGGUAGCAGCUAUAGCCACCAAGGUUUGUAAUAAUUUGAUUUUUCUUAUGCCAGUUUUUGUUGUUACUCUCUACGACUAAGCCUUACUAUUACCGCCCUGGGACUAUUGUUCUUCAAUAUGUGAAGCAAAAUACAUUUUAUUUUUACUAUUGCGCAUACUUGAAAUAAAGUAUGCUGAGUUAGCAAAUUAUAAACUUUAUGCCUAGCUUGUAGUGAUCCACAGCUAUACCACUGCUCGUUAGGAAGCUUUCAUUUCAUAGGGGAGAUUGCCCAGGAUUUCAAGGUGAGAUUUGUCUUCGUACUGUCAUUGUGCUCAGUCAUGUAAUUCCACGAUACCGAAAUCUACCUAGAAACUUCUCUCAACCUCCUGUUCUAUUAAUUAGUGCGGACUGAUCUGCGUUUUCAGAGCUAUGUGUAAGCAUACCUGCUUACUUUGUUGGAAGACAGAGCUGUGCGCCAUCCAUGCCACCGAAGGACAUUCAGCUGGCUUGGAGGAUUUACAGCGAGAGGGUUUACGUUCUCCGCGACAGCUAGGAUAUUAACGAUACGUAAUACUUGAAAAUUAAACUAUGCAAGUGUUGUAUUAUCUUGUUUUAAUUCUGUAUUCUUCCUCUUUCGAAUUUCACGUUCCUGAGGUUUCAGUAAUAUGACAUGCAUCUCCUGUGCUCUAACUAAUUCCAAUCUGUCAAAAACAUUUUAAGACU